Molecule: ribosomal RNA, 447 nt
Filed under: uncultured bacterium
Lineage: Bacteria
Description: bacterial SSU rRNA
Rfam family: Bacterial small subunit ribosomal RNA
Source: RNAcentral
UGGGGAAUCUUGGACAAUGGGCGCAAGCCUGAUCCAGCCAUGCCGCGUGAGUGAUGAAGGCCUUAGGGUUGUAAAGCUCUUUUGCCGGGGACGAUAAUGACGGUACCCGGAGAAUAAGUCCCGGCUAACUUCGUGCCAGCAGCCGCGGUAAUACGAAGGGGACUAGCGUUGUUCGGAUUUACUGGGCGUAAAGGGCGCGUAGGCGGAUUGAUAAGUUAGAGGUGAAAUCCCGGGGCUCAACCUCGGAACUGUCUUUGAUACUGUUAGUCUCGAGUCCGAUAGAGGUGAGUGGAAUUCCUAGUGUAGAGGUGAAAUUCGUAGAUAUUAGGAAGAACACCAGUGGCGAAGGCGGCUCACUGGAUCGGUACUGACGCUGAGGUGCGAAAGCGUGGGGAGCAAACAGGAUUAGAUACCCUUGUAGUCCCUGAGCGGGCUGGCAAGGCGCAU